RNAcentral lists this ribosomal RNA (396 nucleotides) under uncultured bacterium. RNAcentral describes it as "partial 16S ribosomal RNA". It matches the Rfam family "Bacterial small subunit ribosomal RNA", at positions 523 to 918 of the family's 1533-position model. The record is from RNAcentral.
AUACGUAGGGGGCAAGCGUUAUCCGGAUUUACUGGGUGUAAAGGGAGCGUAGACGGCAAAGCAAGUCUGAAGUGAAAGCCCCGGGCUCAACCCGGGAAUUGCUUUGGAAACUGUUUAGCUGGAGUGCAGGAGAGGUAAGCGGAAUUCCUAGUGUAGCGGUGAAAUGCGUAGAUAUUAGGAGGAACACCGGCGGCGAAGGCGGAUUACUGGACUGUAACUGACGUUGAGGCUCGAAAGCGUGGGGAGCAAACAGGAUUAGAUACCCUGGUAGUCCACGCCGUAAACGAUGAUUACUAGGUGUUGGUUGUCAUAGACAAUCGGUGCCGCAGCAAACGCAAUAAGUAAUCCACCUGGGGAGUACGUUCGCAAGAAUGAAACUCAAAUGAAUUGACGGGG